This 349-nucleotide ribosomal RNA is filed under the name Agrobacterium tumefaciens. Its description in RNAcentral is "bacterial SSU rRNA". It matches the Rfam family "Bacterial small subunit ribosomal RNA", at positions 1016 to 1365 of the family's 1533-position model. The record is from RNAcentral. Lineage: Bacteria; Pseudomonadati; Pseudomonadota; Alphaproteobacteria; Hyphomicrobiales; Rhizobiaceae.
CAGUUAGGCUGGCCCCAGAACAGGUGCUGCAUGGCUGUCGUCAGCUCGUGUCGUGAGAUGUUGGGUUAAGUCCCGCAACGAGCGCAACCCUCGCCCUUAGUUGCCAGCAUUUAGUUGGGCACUCUAAGGGGACUGCCGGUGAUAAGCCGAGAGGAAGGUGGGGAUGACGUCAAGUCCUCAUGGCCCUUACGGGCUGGGCUACACACGUGCUACAAUGGUGGUGACAGUGGGCAGCGAGACAGCGAUGUCGAGCUAAUCUCCAAAAGCCAUCUCAGUUCGGAUUGCACUCUGCAACUCGAGUGCAUGAAGUUGGAAUCGCUAGUAAUCGCAGAUCAGCAUGCUGCGGGAA